GGAAUAUUGCACAAUGGGCGCAAGCCUGAUGCAGCCAUGCCGCGUGUGUGAAGAAGGCCUUAGGGUUGUAAAGCACUUUCAGCGAGGAGGAAGGGUUCAGUGUUAAUAGCACUGUGCAUUGACGUUACUCGCAGAAGAAGCACCGGCUAACUCCGUGCCAGCAGCCGCGGUAAUACGGAGGGUGCAAGCGUUAAUCGGAAUUACUGGGCGUAAAGCGCACGCAGGCGGUUUGUUAAGUCAGAUGUGAAAUCCCCGAGCUUAACUUGGGAACUGCAUUUGAAACUGGCAAGCUAGAGUCUUGUAGAGGGGGGUAGAAUUCCAGGUGUAGCGGUGAAAUGCGUAGAGAUCUGGAGGAAUACCGGUGGCGAAGGCGGCCCCCUGGACAAAGACUGACGCUCAGGUGCGAAAGCGUGGGGAGCAAACAGGAUUAGAUACCCCUG
This 440-nucleotide ribosomal RNA is filed under the name uncultured Rahnella sp. RNAcentral describes it as "bacterial SSU rRNA". It matches the Rfam family "Bacterial small subunit ribosomal RNA", at positions 358 to 790 of the family's 1533-position model. The record is from RNAcentral. Lineage: Bacteria; Pseudomonadati; Pseudomonadota; Gammaproteobacteria; Enterobacterales; Yersiniaceae.